AGAGUUUGAUCAUGGCUCAGAGUGAACGCUGGCGGUAGGCCUAACACAUGCAAGUCGAACGGCAGCACAGGAGAGCUUGCUCUCUGGGUGGCGAGUGGCGGACGGGUGAGGAAUACAUCGGAAUCUACCUUUUCGUGGGGGAUAACGUAGGGAAACUUACGCUAAUACCGCAUACGACCUACGGGUGAAAGUGGGGGACCGCAAGGCCUCACGCGAUUAGAUGAGCCAAUGUCCGAUUAGCUAGUUGGCGGGGUAAUGGCCCACCAAGGCGACGAUCGGUAGCUGGUCUGAGAGGAUGAUCAGCCACACUGGAACUGAGACACGGUCCAGACUCCUACGGGAGGCAGCAGUGGGGAAUAUUGGACAAUGGGCGCAAGCCUGAUCCAGCCAUACCGCGUGGGUGAAGAAGGCCUUCGGGUUGUAAAGCCCUUUUGUUGGGAAAGAAAUCCUGUCGAUUAAUACUCGGUGGGGAUGACGGUACCCAAAGAAUAAGCACCGGCUAACUUCGUGCCAGCAGCCGCGGUAAUACGAAGGGUGCAAGCGUUACUCGGAAUUACUGGGCGUAAAGCGUGCGUAGGUGGUCGUUUAAGUCCGUUGUGAAAGCCCUGGGGCUCAACCUGGGAACUGCAGUGGAUACUGGAUGACUAGAAUGUGGUAGAGGGUAGCGGAAUUCCUGAUGUAGCAGUGAAAUGCGCAGAGAUCACGAGGAACAUCCAUGGCGAAGCAGCUACCUGGACCAAC
RNAcentral lists this ribosomal RNA (741 nucleotides) under Lysobacteraceae bacterium enrichment culture clone JUMSS254PW-8(R3). RNAcentral describes it as "bacterial SSU rRNA". It matches the Rfam family "Bacterial small subunit ribosomal RNA", at positions 8 to 738 of the family's 1533-position model. The record is from RNAcentral. Lineage: Bacteria; Pseudomonadati; Pseudomonadota; Gammaproteobacteria; Lysobacterales; Lysobacteraceae.